AUAGACUCUAAAGCUGAAAAGAAAGGAUAUUUGUCACUUUAAUGCAACCUGGAAACCCUGUCCAGUAAACAAUGCUUGUGACAUGGCAGUACUUUGCCACAAUUGCCAUAUAGAAGUAUUCCCUCUGUUCAAAAGAAAAGGCAACCUAGGAAAGGAUCUCCCUCUGUUCAAAAGAAAAGGCAACCUAGGAAAGGAUCUAGGUUCAUUGUCCUAGAAUAUGUCACAUCCUAUAUUCCUAUCCUAGGUUGCAUUUUUUUUAGACGGAGGGAGUACUGAUUAUGGUUAGCACGCAGAACAUAGAGAUUGAUGGAGGGUUAAAGGUUAUUUUUUCUUGAAAAUAAUGAUUAUAGGUGGAGGAUGAAACGGAGAAGUUUGCUGAAUAAACACACAUGAUUUGAUUUGACUAUAGCUUGGUGCUGGAUUAUGUUACCAACCCUACUUCCAAUUUUUAACAUCACAAAGUAGAACAGAAAUCAAGUUUCCAAGCCGCUUUAACACUCCUCUCUUUGCCCCCUCGCAG
RNAcentral lists this long non-coding RNA (520 nucleotides) under Oryza sativa (Asian cultivated rice). RNAcentral's name for it is "long non-coding RNA (OSAT_LNC000011)". Lineage: Eukaryota; Viridiplantae; Streptophyta; Magnoliopsida; Poales; Poaceae. The record is from RNAcentral.